UACGGAGGGUGCAAGCGUUAUCCGGAUUCACUGGGCUUAAAGGGUGCGUAGGCGGUCAGGUAAGUCAGUGGUGAAAUCUCCGAGCUUAACUCGGAAACUGCCUUUGAUACUCUCUGUCUUGAAUAUGGUGGAGGUAAGCGGAAUAUGUCAUGUAGCGGUGAAAUGCUUAGAGAUGACAUAGAACACCUAUUGCGAAGGCAGCUUACUAGGCCUAUAUUGACGCUGAGGCACGAAAGCGUGGGGAUCAAACAGG
RNAcentral lists this ribosomal RNA (253 nucleotides) under uncultured bacterium. RNAcentral describes it as "partial 16S ribosomal RNA". It matches the Rfam family "Bacterial small subunit ribosomal RNA", at positions 524 to 776 of the family's 1533-position model. The record is from RNAcentral.